This 249-nucleotide long non-coding RNA is filed under the name Hordeum vulgare. RNAcentral's name for it is "long non-coding RNA (HVUL_LNC008099)". Lineage: Eukaryota; Viridiplantae; Streptophyta; Magnoliopsida; Poales; Poaceae. The record is from RNAcentral.
GGCCUCCAUGGAGGCUGAGAGCCAAAACGUCAUUCUCAUAUUUGGUCUUUUCUAUAAAUAAAACCAGCUUCUUCUCUCUCUCUAGCAUUGUAGUAUUUUUUUCACAAAUGAACGCUGAAAUAAAGGUGGGGAAAACUUCUAGCACCUCCUCGCCCAUCCUAAGGAUCGGCUGCGCCACCGUAUGGGUGCGAUCCAAUAUUCUCUGCUUGCGUUGGGUGGUUGAUGGAUAGGCACAACUUCUUCAAAAGC